RNAcentral lists this ribosomal RNA (253 nucleotides) under uncultured bacterium. RNAcentral's name for it is "partial 16S ribosomal RNA". It matches the Rfam family "Bacterial small subunit ribosomal RNA", at positions 524 to 776 of the family's 1533-position model. The record is from RNAcentral.
UACGGAGGAUGCAAGCGUUAUCCGGAUUCAUUGGGUUUAAAGGGUGCGUAGGCGGCUCUUUAAGUCAGUGGUGAAAUCCUGUCGCUCAACGAUAGAAUUGCCAUUGAUACUGAAGAGCUUGAGUUCAGUUGAGGUAAGCGGAAUGUGUAGUGUAGCGGUGAAAUGCUUAGAUAUUACACAGAACACCGAUUGCGAAGGCAGCUUACUAAACUGACACUGACGCUGAUGCACGAAAGCGUGGGGAUCGAACAGG